GGGAUUUGCGAAGAGAAAACGCGUGUUUUUUCGCUUAAAAUGGGGGAUGUGCAAAUUGAAAAUGUGCGAUUUUCGGCUAAAUGGGGGAUUUUCGAAGAGAAAACACGUGUUUUCCACAUAAAUGGGGGAUUUGCGAAGAGAAAACGCGUGAUUUUCGCAUAAAUGGGGGAUUUGCGAAGAGAAAACGCGUGAUUUUCAAGUUAAAUGGGGGAUUCGCGAAGAGAAAACGCGUGAUUUUCGCUUAAAUGGGGGAUUUGCGAAGAGAAAACGCGUGACUUUCGCUUAAAUGUGGGAUUUGAGAAAACGCGUGAUUUUCGCUUAAAUGUUGGAUUCUCGGAGAGAAAACGCGUGAUUUUCGCUUAAAUGGGGGAUUUCUGAAAAGAAAACGCGUGAUUUUCGGGUUAAAUGGAAGAUUCCUGAAGAGAAAACGCGUGAUUUUCAAGUUAAAUGGGGAUUUGCAAAGAGAAAACGUGUGAUUUUUGCUUAAAUGGUGUAUUUGAGAAGAGAAAAUUUGUGAUUUUCGCAUAAAUGGGGGAUUCUCAAAGAGAAAACGCUUGAUUUUCACUUAAAUUGACGAUUCGCAAAGAGGAAAACGCGAGAUUUCCACUUAAAUGGGGGUUUUGCGAAGGGAAAAUGUGUGAUUUUCGCUUAAAUGGGGGAUUUCUGAAGAGAAAACUCAUGGUUUUUUGUGUUAAUUGGGGGAUUUGCGAAGAGAAAACGCAUGACUUUCGCUUAAAUGUGGGAUUUGAGAAAACACAUGAUUUUCACUUAAAUGUUGGAUUCUCGAAGUGAAAACGCGUGAUUUUCGCUUAAGUGUUGGAUUCUCGGAGAGAAAACGCGUGAUUUUCAAGGUAAAUGGGGGAUUUCCGAAAAGAAAACGCGUGAUUUUCUGGUUAAAUGGGGGAUUUGCAAAGAGAAAACGCGUGUUUUUUCGCUUAAAUGGGGGACUUGCAAAUUGAAAAUGUGCGAUUAUCGGGUUAAAUGGGGGAUUUUCGAAGAGAAAACUCAUGGUUUUUUGUGUUAAUUGCGGAUUUGCGAAGAGGAAAACGCGUGACUUUCGGGUUAAAUGGAAGAUUCCUGAAGAGAAAACGCGUGAUUUUUGCUUAAAUGGCGGAUUUGCGAAGAGAAAACUCGUGGUUUUUGUGUUAAUUGAGGGAUUUGCGACGAGAAAACGCGUGACUUUCGCUUAAAUGUGGGAUUUGAGAAAACGCGUGAUUUUUCGCUUAAAUGUUGGAUUCUCGGAGAGAAAACGCGUGAUUUUCGCUUAAAUGGGGGAUUUCUGAAAAGAAAAUGCGUGAUUUUCGGGUUAAUUGGGAAAUUUUCAAAGAGAAAAACACGUGUUUUCCACAUAAAUGGGGAUUUGCGAAGAGAAAACGUGUUUUUUUCGCUUAAAUGGGGGAUUUCUGAAGAGAAAACGCGUGAUUUUCAGGUUAAAUGGAAGAUUCCUGAAGAGAAAACGCGUGAUUUUCAAGUUAAAUGGGGGAUUUGCAAAGAGAAAACGUGUGAUUUUCGCUUAAAUGGUGUAUUUGAGACGAGAAAAUUCGUGAUUUUCGCAUAAAUGGGGGAUUCUCAAAGAGAAAACGCUUGAUUUUCACUUAAAUUGACGAUUCUCAAAGAGAAAACGCGAGAUUUCCACUUAAAUGGGGGUUUUGCGAAGGGAAAACGUGUGAUUUUCUGCUUAAAUGGGGGAUUUCUGAAGAGAAAACUCGUGGUUUUUUGUGUUAAUUGGGGGAUUUGCGAAGAGAAAACGCGUGACUUUCGCUUUAAAUGUGGGAUUUGAGAAAACACAGUGAUUUUCACUUAAAUGUUGGAUUCUCGAAGAUGAAAACGCGUGAUUUUCGCUUAAGUGUUGGAUUCUCGGAGAGAAAACACGUGAUUUUCGCUUAAAUGGGGGAUUUCCGAAAAGAAAACGCGUGAUUUUCUGGUUAAAUGGGGGAUUUGCAAAGAGAAAACGCGUGUUUUUCGCUUAAAUGGGGGACUUGCAAAUUGAAAAUGUGCGAUUAUCGGGUUAAAUGGGGGAUUUUCGAAGAGAAAACACGUGUUUUCCACAUAAAUGGGGAUUUGCGAAGAGAAAACGCGUGACUUUCGCAUAAAUGGGGAUUUGCAAAUUGAAAAUGCAUGAUUUUC
Molecule: long non-coding RNA, 2127 nt
Organism: Gallus gallus (chicken)
Lineage: Eukaryota; Metazoa; Chordata; Aves; Galliformes; Phasianidae
Source: Ensembl